This 755-nucleotide ribosomal RNA is filed under the name uncultured Glomeromycotina. RNAcentral describes it as "SSU rRNA". It matches the Rfam family "Eukaryotic small subunit ribosomal RNA", at positions 338 to 1092 of the family's 1831-position model. The record is from RNAcentral. Lineage: Eukaryota; Fungi; Glomeromycota.
GGCCUACCAUGGUGGUAACGGGUAACGGGGUGUUAGGGCACGACACCGGAGAGGGAGCCUGAGAAACGGCUACCACAUCCAAGGAUGGCAGCAGGCGCGCAAAUUACCCAAUCCCGACACGGGGAGGUAGUGACAAUAAAUAACAAUACGGGGUUCUUUCGGAUCUCGUAAUUGGAAUGAGUACAAUUUAAAUCUCUUAACGAGGAACAAUUGGAGGGCAAGUCUGGUGCCAGCAGCCGCGGUAAUUCCAGCUCCAAUAGCGUAUAUUAAAGUUGUUGCAGUUAAAAAGCUCGUAGUUGAAUUUCGGGGUCAGCAGGUCGGUCGUGCCACUGGUAUGAACUGGCCUCGCUGAUCCCUCCCUCUUGACGAACUGUGAUGCCAUUAAUUUGGUGUCGCAGGGAAUCAGGACUGUUACUUUGAAAAAAUUAGAGUGUUUAAAGCAGGCUUUCGCUUGAAUACAUUAGCAUGGAAUAAUGAAAUAGGACGUUUGAUCCUAUUUUGUUGGUUUCUAGGAUUGACGUAAUGAUUAAUAGGGAUAGUUGGGGGCAUUAGUAUUCAAUUGUCAGAGGUGAAAUUCUUGGAUUUAUUGAAGACUAACUACUGCGAAAGCAUUUGCCAAGGAUGUUUUCAUUAAUCAAGAACGAAAAGUUAGGGGGAUCGAAGACGAUCAGAUACCGUCGUAGUCUUAACCAUAAACUAUGCCGACUAGGGAUCGGAUGAUGUUAAUUUUUUAAUGACUCAUUCGGCGCCUUACG